UACAGAGGUGGCAAGCGUUGUUCGGAAUUACUGGGCGUAAAGGGCGCGUAGGCGGCCUUCUAAGUCAGACGUGAAAUCCCCCGGCUUAACCUGGGAACUGCAUCCGAUACUGGAUGGCUUGAAUCCGGGAGAGGGAUGCAGAAUUCCAGGUGUAGCGGUGAAAUGCGUAGAUAUCUGGAGGAAUACCGGUGGCGAAGGCGGCAUCCUGGACCGGCAUUGACGCUGAGGAGCGAAAGCCAGGGGAGCAAACGGG
This 253-nucleotide ribosomal RNA is filed under the name uncultured bacterium. Its description in RNAcentral is "partial 16S ribosomal RNA". It matches the Rfam family "Bacterial small subunit ribosomal RNA", at positions 524 to 776 of the family's 1533-position model. The record is from RNAcentral.